Molecule: ribosomal RNA, 497 nt
Filed under: uncultured bacterium
Lineage: Bacteria
Description: partial 16S ribosomal RNA
Rfam family: Bacterial small subunit ribosomal RNA
Source: RNAcentral
GAUGAACGCUGGCGGCGUGCCUAAUACAUGCAAGUCGAGCGAACAGACGAGGAGCUUGCUCCUCUGACGUUAGCGGCGGACGGGUGAGUAACACGUGGAUAACCUACCUAUAAGACUGGGAUAACUUCGGGAAACCAGAGCUAAUACCGGAUAAUAUAUUGAACCGCAUGGUUCAAUAGUGAAAGACGGUUUUGCUGUCACUUAUAGAUGGAUCCGCGCCGCAUUAGCUAGUUGGUAAGGUAACGGCUUACCAAGGCGACGAUGCGUAGCCGACCUGAGAGGGUGAUCGGCCACACUGGAACUGAGACACGGUCCAGACUCCUACGGGAGGCAGCAGUAGGGAAUCUUCCGCUAUGGGCGAAAGCCUGACGGAGCAACGCCGCGUGAGUGAUGAAGGUCUUCGGAUCGUAAAACUCUGUUAUUAGGGAAGAACAAAUGUGUAAGUAACUAUGCACGUCUUGACGGUACCUAAUCAGAAAGCCACGGCUAACUACGUG